This 1372-nucleotide ribosomal RNA is filed under the name uncultured bacterium. RNAcentral describes it as "bacterial SSU rRNA". It matches the Rfam family "Bacterial small subunit ribosomal RNA", at positions 28 to 1381 of the family's 1533-position model. The record is from RNAcentral.
GAUGAACGCUGGCGGCGUGCCUAAUACAUGCAAGUCGAGCGAACGGACGAGAAGCUUGCUUCUCUGAUGUUAGCGGCGGACGGGUGAGUAACACGUGGAUAACCUACCUAUAAGACUGGGAUAACUUCGGGAAACCGGAGCUAAUACCGGAUAAUAUUUUGAACCGCAUGGUUCAAAAGUGAAAGACGGUCUUGCUGUCACUUAUAGAUGGAUCCGCGCUGCAUUAGCUAGUUGGUAAGGUAACGGCUUGCCAAGGCAACGAUGCAUAGCCGACCUGAGAGGGUGAUCGGCCACACUGGAACUGAGACACGGUCCAGACUCCUACGGGAGGCAGCAGUAGGGAAUCUUCCGCAAUGGGCGAAAGCCUGACGGAGCAACGCCGCGUGAGUGAUGAAGGUCUUCGGAUCGUAAAACUCUGUUAUUAGGGAAGAACAUAUGUGUAAGUAACUGUGCACAUCUUGACGGUACCUAAUCAGAAAGCCACGGCUAACUACGUGCCAGCAGCCGCGGUAAUACGUAGGUGGCAAGCGUUAUCCGGAAUUAUUGGGCGUAAAGCGCGCGUAGGCGGUUUUUUAAGUCUGAUGUGAAAGCCCACGGCUCAACCGUGGAGGGUCAUUGGAAACUGGAAAACUUGAGUGCAGAAGAGGAAAGUGGAAUUCCAUGUGUAGCGGUGAAAUGCGCAGAGAUAUGGAGGAACACCAGUGGCGAAGGCGACUUUCUGGUCUGUAACUGACGCUGAUGUGCGAAAGCGUGGGGAUCAAACAGGAUUAGAUACCCUGGUAGUCCACGCCGUAAACGAUGAGUGCUAAGUGUUAGGGGGUUUCCGCCCCUUAGUGCUGCAGCUAACGCAUUAAGCACUCCGCCUGGGGAGUACGACCGCAAGGUUGAAACUCAAAAGAAUUGACGGGGACCCGCACAAGCGGUGGAGCAUGUGGUUUAAUUCGAAGCAACGCGAAGAACCUUACCAAAUCUUGACAUCCUUUGACAACUCUAGAGAUAGAGCCUUCCCCUUCGGGGGACAAAGUGACAGGUGGUGCAUGGUUGUCGUCAGCUCGUGUCGUGAGAUGUUGGGUUAAGUCCCGCAACGAGCGCAACCCUUAAGCUUAGUUGCCAUCAUUAAGUUGGGCACUCUAAGUUGACUGCCGGUGACAAACCGGAGGAAGGUGGGGAUGACGUCAAAUCAUCAUGCCCCUUAUGAUUUGGGCUACACACGUGCUACGAUGGACAAUACAAAGGGCAGCGAAACCGUGAGGUCAAGCAAAUCCCAUAAAGUUGUUCUCAGUUCGGAUUGUAGUCUGCAACUCGACUACAUGAAGCUGGAAUCGCUAGUAAUCGUAGAUCAGCAUGCUACGGUGAAUACGUUCCCGGGUCU